Long non-coding RNA from Cyprinus carpio carpio, 1460 nucleotides. Lineage: Eukaryota; Metazoa; Chordata; Actinopteri; Cypriniformes; Cyprinidae. The record is from Ensembl.
UUUUUUUUUUUUUUUGUCUUACUGUAUGUUUAAGCCGUGAUUCCCAUCCACUUACAUUAUAUGAGUGAUAGACUGCAACGGUUUGAGUUAAAAAUCUUGGUUUGUGUUCUACUGAACAAAAAACAAAGUCACCUACAUCUUGGAUGCUCUGUGGGUCUUGUUGGAGCUCCCCGUGGGCUGAUGGGAUUGUUGCCGAACAGAUUGUGCAGGUGUAAGAGGAGCGCUCCUCAACGACGUGGCACCUGUCCAAAGCACUCAACAGCGACACACGGGCCUCCGAGACAUGACUGAACGCAAAGAGAACUGCUGCUGCUAUAAAACACCAUCACAUCUCAACACUUUGAAUUACCGUAAAAUGUGCUCUAUCAGUAAACUGGCCUCGCCGUGCUACCUGGAAAUGAAAGUCUGAUAGGGACCCACCCGAAGGACGCUCUAUGAUCACAGCUCUGUGUUUUCCUCAGUAGUUCCUUCUGCUAUGAGUAGCAUUUACACAGAGACAUUCGCUAAUCGCUACAAUAAGAGACAUCUGCUUAUUACCUGAUAAUAAUGAUUAUUGCUCUUUUGUGGUUAUGUGCAGCCAGCGGAGCAUCCAUUUCUACAGGGCCUCGUGGUUUAUGGCUGAUACAAGCAAACUUAUGGCAAUUUUUCCUUGUGGUACAAAAGAACACUUCAAGUAAUCACUGCUAUAAAGACCAAAGGACCAUAGUGCAUUGAUGCAAGGUCACAUGGUUUAUUUGACCUUUUUACAUGGUUUAUUUUAUUGCUUUGAUGAAGCUUAAAUCAGUUUUAUAUGGUGGUAAUGCCAUGUAUUACACUGUCAAUGGCCUUGAUUUUAUAUCCAUAUCAUUUUAAUUCAUAAGCAAUAAGCAAAACCUAAUUUUUGAGCCUUACACCAGAUCUGAUGGGACUCUUUUCCUCGAAUGAAGCUUAGGGCACUUAACAUGUCUCAUAAGUUUCAUAUCUGGUUGAAUUGCGUUUCUCAUUUGGAGGAGGGUCGUUCCUGAUCCUGCUUUACAGUAUUGCAUAAGAGUUUAAUGUUGCUAAGAUGUUUUUAAAAGAAGUCUCUUCAGCUCACCAGGGCUGCAUUUGUUUGAUUAAAAAUACAGUAAAAUUGUGAAAUAUUAUUACAGUUUAAAAUAAGUGUUUUCUUUGUGAAUAUAUUUUAAAAUGUAAUUUAUUCCUGUGAAUUUUCAGCAUCAUUACUCCAGUCUUCAGUCUCACACGAUCCUUCAGAAAUCUUUCUAAUCUGCUGAUUUCCUGCUCAAGAAACAUUUCUCAUUAUUAUCAAUGUUGAAAACUGCUUAAUAUUUUUUGUGCAUUUUUUCAGGAUUCUUUGAUGAAUAGAAAUGUCAAAAGAACAGCAUUUAUUUAAUAUAUAUAUGUUUUUUGUAACAAAGUAAAGGUCUUUACUCUCACUUUUGAUGAGUUUAAUGCAUCCUAGCUGAAUAAAAUAAAAUAAA